UGUGUCGCUUCACUCCGCUCCGUGUGACGCUACAAACCGGCUUCACAUACCGGAUAACGGCUCCACAGUCACCAGGAUAUCAUGAAAAGACGCCAACAAACGACUGAACCUACCUGCGAUGUUUCCCGCCCCUCCUGUGGGCACCACCACCUCCAGCUCGGGCAGGUCUCCGUCAGCCUCCUCCGCCUGCUGCUGCACGCCGCUGAGCUGCAGGUAGGCGUAGAUGAAGUGAGCGAGCUGGACCAUGAUUCUGGACCAGUUCACAGAGUUCAGACUCAUGAGGCGGUAAGACUUCACCAGAUCCUGAUCCGCAAACAGACGCCGCAGAGGCUGGUCGAUGUCGUCCGAGCUGCCGUCCGCUACGGACACACACAAAAAAAAAAGAAACGACCAGCGAGUGUGAAAAAUGGAAUACAUAGCUUUGUGGUUAAACAGCAUCUUUUACUCCUUUAACUUCACCUGCGAACACGUGGACGUUAUCCUCCAAACAGGUGAUCAUGUGUUUCUCCUGAACCGGAGUGAUUCGUCCUCGAGGAUAAACCACGACCACGUCCAACCCGCACAGACCUUUAGCGCUCUGGAUGGCCGAGCCGCCGGUGUCUCCUGACGUUCCUGCAGAGGGGAAAGAUGUGACACUCUGCAUGCUCCUGAUGCUCAUGAAUGUUAUUAUUUUACAUUUUUAACCUCGAGCCCGACAGAACAAACAGCAUGAUGUCGGCUUUUCAGUUUCCAUUCUUAGCCGGAUCUUACAUGGAGCCCCAGGUGUUGGUUCUUACCUACAACCACAGUCGCCCUGUGCUUCUCCUUCUGCAGAAAGUAGUUGAGAAAGCGCACGGUGCAGGUCAUAGCCAGGUCCUUAAAGGCCAGCGUCUCUCCAUGGAAGAGCUCCAGGACUGACAGACCCCCCUUCAACCGGGCGAUCUGGACCACCUCAGGCACCGAGAAACCCGACAGAGCUUCACCCACCAAGACUGAGACAGAGGAUGGAGGAGAGGGGAUUAUCUUUUGUUCUUUAUUUUGAUAAUUGUUCUGCCUCGUGUUGUAACUUAAUUGUCUUUUUAUAACUUUUCUUUGCUCGACUUGUGAACAGGUUUCCUCUGCUCACCCUGCAGGUCGUCUCUGGGGAUCAGCUGAGUGGGGAUGAACAGCGAGGCGACCUCCACCACCAGCUGGGUGUAAUCCAACCCCCUCCAUCCUCUCAGGGUCUCCGGGCUGAGCACAGGUCCUUGUUAUGGACGCAAUCUAAACUGCUUUGUUCGGUGCACUCAUGACUGACAGUGAUGAGGACAGAAGCAAGACUCUAAAACAAGACUAACAAGUCAAGAACGAGACCUUAUACCUUCACACAGACGUGGCAAACUGCAGGUGUGAGCGGUGUUGUUGCAGCAUGCGCCUUGUGUUGUGUAACGCUGUAAAAUUGUGUGAAUGAAUGAAACACUCGACUCCGUCCAUCAGUCUGAGCAGCCCUUUCUUUCUGUGCUGUAAUAGUUAAGCGGUUGUAAUGAUGACUCUCCAUGAGGUCACAGUCUAUACAGUCGAUGAACCUUAUGACAGCAGCUCUGGGUUUAAGACGCCGUCACACAGACUGUAACACCCCUCUGACAUGAUAACACAGAGCAUACACAACACUUACCU
Molecule: non-coding RNA, 1635 nt
Organism: Labrus bergylta (ballan wrasse)
Lineage: Eukaryota; Metazoa; Chordata; Actinopteri; Labriformes; Labridae
Source: RefSeq, a predicted model, not a curated record